This 351-nucleotide ribosomal RNA is filed under the name Podarcis milensis (Milos wall lizard). RNAcentral describes it as "partial 12S ribosomal RNA". It matches the Rfam family "Bacterial small subunit ribosomal RNA", at positions 863 to 1377 of the family's 1533-position model. Lineage: Eukaryota; Metazoa; Chordata; Lepidosauria; Squamata; Lacertidae. The record is from RNAcentral.
GACUUUCCGCCAGAGAACUACAAGUGAAAAACUUGAAACUCAAAGGACUUGACGGUGUCCCAUAUCGGCCUAGAGGAGCCUGUCCUAUAAUCGAUACCCCCCGUUCCACCCAACCACAACUAGCAAAAAUACCAGCCUAUAUACCGCCGUCGACAGUUUACCCUAUGAAGGUCUAAUAGUAAACACAAUAGCCCUACAACGCUAAUACGUCAGGUCAAGGUGUAGCAAAUGUUGAGGAAGAGAUUGGCUACAUUUUUUAAUAUAAAAAACACGAAUUGCACUAUGAAAUACUGCAUGAAGGUGAAUUUAGUAGUAAAACAGAUAAGAGUGUCUGUUUUAACAACGCUCUGG